This is a long non-coding RNA of Mesocricetus auratus (golden hamster), 918 nucleotides long. RefSeq lists it as uncharacterized. The record is from RefSeq and is a predicted model, not a curated record. NCBI's taxonomy places the organism in Eukaryota, Metazoa, Chordata, Mammalia, Rodentia, Cricetidae. The transcript is spliced from 4 exons.
GUCAGGCGCUUUGCAUGGAAAUGAGCCCCAGCCCAGCCAACGAAUCGCCUGUUGAAAGCGCAGCCGCGCCGCGGGCCCCGGACCCCGCACCAGUCCCCAAUCGCGCCAUUCACCCCGCGCCUUCCGCGACAGAAACAGCAGAAGCUUACCUACGAGGAAGGAGUUAAGUGUGUCCUCUGCAUCCACUUGGCACUGAGAACACCAAUCUGUGCAAUGGGAAGUUCCCUUUGCUGGCACUCCCUUAAACCUGUCUGAGGAAGUGAGAGGAGCCCGGAUUUGGACAGCAAGGAAUUUACUUGAUUUCUCUACUGGUAACAUUCAUCUGCUUCCCGUCACAAAGAGACACUCCUAUCUCUGUCCCUGAAUGAAAGAACCCCGACUGUCCCUCCAGCCGCAAACCUCUAUUAUUCUGAAAUGUCAAAAACAUAGUUUUCUUCUCACACGAUUCAGUGUCUCCCUUUUCCGUGUGCAGGGGAGUCCUAUGGACUCUUCCCCGAGUUGUUCAAGGCCAUUUUUUCUCCUGAAUCUUUUCUCUCACAUCACAUCCCCCCCCCCCCACACACACACACACACGCACGCGCACACGCAUGCGCACACACAUACACACAUGCACGUGCACACACAAAGGCUCAGUUAUGGAAGCUUCUCUAAGUGUCCUUACACAAUUGCAGAUAUGAACAAAAGAACUCUGUGAGGAGCUCAUCAAAAGAGGUGGGUUUGCCUCAAAGAGCUUCUUACACGGGGAGAUAGAAGGUUCUAGCUACGGGAUAGCAGGAUCAGAAUGACCUCUUUAGUUAGUGCCUUGGUAGAGUUUUGUGAAACGAUUCCCUGUUUGUAUCACUCAGUGUUCCUAUGGCCAGUGCUGGCCUGAAUGAAGUUUGAAAUUUAAAAAAAAUAAAUAAAUAAAGUUAUGUGUGA